AUAGGAGUUCCUCUGCUGCAGGAAGGCGGCGGCCGCCGCCUGGUGCUGCUGCUGGAGCUGCGGGCUGACGGGCGACCUCCGGCUCUGCGGCUGCUGCGGCGCCGCGGGCGGCGGGGGCUGCUGUUGAGGUAUAUUCAUGGCGGGCGGCGGCGGAGGGGGCACAGCGGUAGCCGAGAAGGGGCCGCCGAAGCCGCCGCCGCCGCCGCCGCUCGUCGGAACGCUGAGCCCAGUGCAGCCGUGCGGCGACACGGGCGAGAAGCUAGGGAAGAAGGCCGGGUUCAUGGACGACGGCAGCCCGGGGUAGAAGCCGUUCUCUGAGUCGGGGCUGGGCGGCGGCAUGGCGCUGAGCGAGCCGCCGCUGCCGCCGCCCGGGGUGGUGGCAGACGAGCCGGGCGGCUGCGGCUGCGGCUGGGGCGGCUGCUGGGGUGGCGGCGGCUGCUGCUGCGGCUGGGUCGGCGGCGGCUGCUGGGGCUGGGGUGGCGGCGACGCGGUCUGCACCGACCAGGGGGUGCCGAAGCCGGGCAGCGGCGGCGGCGACGCGGAGCCGCCUCCCCCUCCGCCUCCUGGGGGCCCCCCGCCCCCGCCGCCGCCGCCGCCGCCCGGGUGUGGAAGGUCCGGGCUCUGCAGGCUGCUGAAGGCGCCCGCGCCAAGCGCACCUCCGGGCAGGAGGUUACUGGGACUGUUGAGCAGAGGGUGGUUGGGGGACUCCAUGGAGCCCGGCGCGGGGUUCACCGGCGUCGAGGAGGCCAAGCCCGCAUUGGGGGACUCGGCGGCGCUGCCCUCGCCCGCGGCUGGGGUCUUGCGAGGGCUGCCCGCGCCUCCGUGGCGGCGCCGCGGGGCUGCAGGCGGCGAGGGAGGGAGCUGCGGGAGCGGGGGCAGGUCUGCCGGACGCUGCCGCGGGGCGAAGUCCUGCGGCGAGAGGUGCUGCUGAUGCAGGAGGCUGAACUGCUGCGGCGGCUGUUGCUGCUGGCGCUGAGCGAGCUGCGCCGGCUGGAGGAGCGGGCCGGCUGGCGGCGGCGGCGGGCUGAACCGACCGGGGCAGUGGAGCGGCGGAGGCGGCGGCGGCGGCUUCGAGUCCGGAGGGUGGGGAAGGUGGGGAGGGCUGAACUCUUUCCUCUUCUGGCUGCUCAGCUGCUGCUGCUGCCGCUUACUGAAGUCCUGCGGGGAGGAGGUGCGGCAGCAGCAGCAGGAGGAGGCGGAGGAGGAGGAGGGGUGGUGCAGACUCGGUUUGAAGUCCUGGGAGGGGAGGAGGUGGGUCACACCCGCGAUCGUGCCGCCGCCGGGGUGGUGGUCGGGGAGUUUCUCCGUGGCCGCCGCCCCCGAAAGCGGCCGCGCCGGCUGCUGUGUCAGCCCCAGAAGCAGCUCAUCCUGCAUGGUCUGCUGAUGCGCCAGGAACGGGGAGGAAGAGGAAGCGGCGGCGGCCGGGCUGCCCGCGCCGCCGCCGAGGGGGACGGAGAAGGGGGAGGCGGCCUCUAAGAAGCCGGUGACAGGCAACGGUGGUGGCGACAGUGGGCCGAAGGGCGUGGCGGAGGGCAGCGGGUUGACGGACCCCACGGCGUAAGGACCAUACGCCUCGCCGCAGAACAGGGGCCCAGGACUGCUACUUCGGAGCGGGGCGGUCUGCAGCACCCCAAACCCGAAAUCCCUCAUUUAUCAGGCCGCCGGCAGCGGGAGGAGACGCUCCUCGUCCCCUGCCCCACCUAGGAAGCCGCCGGCGCUGGGGUUGCGCGGCCGUGGUGGAAGGAGGGGGAGUCAGUGAGAGAGGGACACCGUGACUGAGCCAGGGGGCACCGACUUCGGCCCCACCACCCCUCGCGGCGAUCGCCGCCGCCGCCGCCGUCGCAGUCGCCGUAGCCGCCCUGGCCGCUUAAGAACCCCGGAACGUGCGUCAGCGCCACCUCACAAUCGCGCCGCCCCCCGCGGUGCGUCCCGGCACGCGCGGGCGCGAGGCCACCGCGUCCCCGUCGCCCCUCCCCGCCCCUCAUUACUAUGCAGACGCAGCCGAGGGCGCGCUCGCGCUCCCGGGAGGGCGGGAGCGAGCGGCGUGUCCCGUUGGGUCUCUCCGCUCCCGGGGAAAUGGACAGGCCGGUUGGGGUGGGGGUCGGCUGGCAAACAGUGGUCGGGAGCAUUGGGCGGGCGCGCGCACGAGGGCAAGCACGCGCGGGAGGGAGGGACGGUUCCUGGGCAACGGCCCCUCCUUGGCGCGGGAUCCGCGCAGAGUCUGCCUGGGUCGCACGCGUCUCCGCCCCUCGCGGUGCCUCCUCCUUCCUGUCACCUCGGUUCCGCCCUGGGUGGGGAGAAGCCCUGCUGCACCACUCGGGCUUCCCAGAGCGGGGCUGGCCCGCGGGGGAAACUGAGGCCCGGGACCCCGACCGGCGCCUGCACUGUGCGACCCGCGUAGAAAUAGGCGCCCGAGGGGCCCCCAGCGCAACGCGGGAGCCCGGCCCAGCCCGGGGGUCCUGUGGUGAACUAGCGUCUGGGCUCUGCCGGCUUGAAGUCCGCUGAGCGCCUCGCCGCGCACCUCUAGACCCCGAGUCCCCGAUCUAGGGCCUCCUUGUAGCCCUAGGUAGCGCCCUCUAAGCUUGUUUCUGUUUUUAGGCGCUGGUAGGAGUGCUGUCACCGACGUCGUAGAGCCGCCGAGGGUGUUUCUGUAGGGUAAACAUGAAGCCUCGGCUAUAUUCCAGGCAUUUUCACUUGGGUAAGAAGGAACAAAGUCCCUGGAACAAACACGCUCCGCGUGGUUAUUUACACACUCGGAUGCGUGGAACGGGUUCCACGGCGAGCUCCCAUAGUAACCCCGGGCCAGCUCCGCUUCAUAAAAGCCUUUCGUGUGCCAUCAGGGCUGCAGCGUGGGACUCCUCCCCACCACAUUCAUUCCGGCGUCCCCGCCCCUUCCCCCCAGGGAGACUCUAAUUUAUUCCUAAGCUUUAUGAAUUUUCAAGGGAGAAAUAGUUCUUACAUCAGGGAAAAAAGGAGGUUCUGACUCAGCAGCAGACUUGUUGAGACUUGCAAAAUGGAAGGGAGAGAGCUUUCCAUGGUAGAGCUCUUUAGAAGCAUUAGAGGAGGAACUAAUCCUGUGUUUCCUUUUGUAUAGAAACAUUUUACAUAAAGUAUUUGAAGGUCUAGAUAAAGAAUAACAGAGUGAUCCAUACUACAUGAUGAGGUGAACUUUAUGUUUCUGUUUUGUAAUUUUAACUGUUUUGCUUGAUGCUUAGAGAAAUGAAACUAUUAAAUGAAUCCUAGAAUAUAGACUCAAACCCCCAAAGCAAUAG
Molecule: long non-coding RNA, 3272 nt
Filed under: Homo sapiens (human)
Lineage: Eukaryota; Metazoa; Chordata; Mammalia; Primates; Hominidae
Description: non-protein coding CPEB2-DT:16
Source: RNAcentral